CCAGACUCCUACGGGGGGCAGCAGUGGGGAAUCUUCCGCAAUGGGCGCAAGCCUGACGGAGCAACGCCGCGUGAGUGAAGAAGGUCUUCGGAUCGUAAAGCUCUGUUGAUGGGGACGAACGUGCCUAAUGCGAAUAGUUUUAGGUAAUGACGGUACCCAUCGAGGAAGCCACGGCUAACUACGUGCCAGCAGCCGCGGUAAUACGUAGGUGGCGAGCGUUGUCCGGAAUCAUUGGGCGUAAAGGGAGCGCAGGCGGGCAUGUAAGUCUUUCUUAAAAGUGCGGGGCUCAACCCCGUGAUGGGAAAGAAACUAUGUGUCUUGAGUACAGGAGAGGAAAGCGGAAUUCCCAGUGUAGCGGUGAAAUGCGUAGAUAUUGGGAGGAACACCAGUGGCGAAGGCGGCUUUCUGGACUGCAACUGACGCUGAGGCUCGAAAGCCAGGGGAGCGAACGGGAUUAGAUACCCCGGUAGUCCUGGCCGUAAACGAUGGAUACUAGGUGUGGGAGGUAUCGACCCCUACCGUGCCGGAGUUAACGCAAUAAGUAUCCCGCCUGGGGAGUACGGCCGCAAGGCUGAAACUCAAAGGAAUUGACGGGGGCCCGCACAAG
RNAcentral lists this ribosomal RNA (607 nucleotides) under uncultured bacterium. Its description in RNAcentral is "bacterial SSU rRNA". It matches the Rfam family "Bacterial small subunit ribosomal RNA", at positions 331 to 929 of the family's 1533-position model. The record is from RNAcentral.